RNAcentral lists this ribosomal RNA (427 nucleotides) under uncultured delta proteobacterium. RNAcentral describes it as "bacterial SSU rRNA". It matches the Rfam family "Bacterial small subunit ribosomal RNA", at positions 958 to 1385 of the family's 1533-position model. The record is from RNAcentral. Lineage: Bacteria; Deltaproteobacteria.
AACGCGAAGAACCUUACCGGGGUUUGAACCGUACGGGACAGCUGCAGAGAUGUAGUUUUCCUUCGGGACCCGUAUAGAGGUGCUGCAUGGCUGUCGUCAGCUCGUGUCGUGAGAUGUUGGGUUAAGUCCCGCAACGAGCGCAACCCUUGCCUCCUGUUGCCAACAGGUAAAGCUGGGCACUCUGGAGAGACUGCCGGUGAUAAACCGGAGGAAGGUGGGGAUGACGUCAAGUCCUCAUGGCCUUUAUGCCCCGGGCUACACACGUGCUACAAUGGCUGGUACAAAGGGUCGCAAAACCGCGAGGUGGAGCUAAUCCCAAAAAACCAGUCCCAGUUCGGAUUGGAGUCUGCAACUCGACUCCAUGAAGUUGGAAUCGCUAGUAAUCGCGGAUCAGCACGCCGCGGUGAAUACGUUCCCGGGCCUUGUA